AGGCGUGCUGGGCGCUUGCUGGGCUUGUCAGGCUAUGGGAGGCCCAAAAUGAGGUUUACGGGCCAAGUCUGGCACACAACAGGGCUGCUAGGCAUGCGGGCCGCGUUAGAGCAGCAGGCUGGCAGACGAGGCACGAAAUGAUGUUCAUCGCGCCAGAACGAGCGCGUGGGAGUGCUGGGCGCGCGCGUGAACGAGGUUCAAAUCUGCACGGGAAGGUUGGACGCGCGCGCGGGCAAACGAGGUUCAAA
This 248-nucleotide unclassified non-coding RNA is filed under the name Hevea brasiliensis (rubber tree). Lineage: Eukaryota; Viridiplantae; Streptophyta; Magnoliopsida; Malpighiales; Euphorbiaceae. The record is from RNAcentral.